This 2613-nucleotide long non-coding RNA is filed under the name Elaeis guineensis (African oil palm). RNAcentral describes it as "long non-coding RNA (EGUI_LNC070663)". Lineage: Eukaryota; Viridiplantae; Streptophyta; Magnoliopsida; Arecales; Arecaceae. The record is from RNAcentral.
UCUCCAUGGCCUGCUUCCCAUAACUGGCCUUACUAAAACUUGCGACUUGAUUAGAGUACCUAAACUGCUUUCCGGUUAACUGCUGACUUUCUUUGCUAGCUCACCCGAAACUCUGUCUUCAGGAGGAAAGCUUGCUUGAGUACCUUACUGGAAAACAAACCGCUUGAGCUGUAACCGAAACAGAAAGGUUUGAUGAGCCGCUGCUUGCUCUCUAACUGCUCUUACCGCUUCUUUUUCUUGACCUCUGCUCACUGCUCCCAAUGCUGUGACUGCCGCCCCUAUCUCUAAAGCUGCGGAUUACAGCUCCUGACUCAACAAGUUCAAAGUCUUAAGUAUGAGUCUUGUUUGUGACAUUAAAGAAUGAACAUUCAAUUCAAAGGAAUGGGACAGACUGCUGCUUGCUAUUACUGACUGCGGCUGCCGACCGAAGAACUUAAGAUCUUCAAUCUAUGUUUGAGUGCUCUAGCGAAAGAAAAGAAUUUAGAAUGCUAAAAUGACUUCUAAAAAUAGGAUAGGAAGAUGAUUUUCCAUUUAUUUCUGAAAUUACGUAUCAAUAUACAUUCCCUUUCCGUCAACUAAAGUCUGUUCGUUUCGUCCGUCAAAAUGAAAUGGCAAUAACUCAUCUCGGGCAAGAACCAACUACUAAGCGGUCGUUCGGGCUCUAUUCCCUCGGUCAUGGCGAGGGGAAAGGGAAGGCAUACCUUUGAAAGAUUUACAGCCUAGCAAGGACUACGCUGGCGAGUGACGAUUGGCCGAGGGGAGUUCCAUCAUGUAGCUGGGCCAGUAAAAGACAAGUGAAGGGAUUGACUAAGCCAAUCAUGAAUGACCACCUAAGGAAGCGGCUAGGCUAAGGCUAAGAAGAGCAAGCAAAGGCAGAAGGAAGACCUUCCAUUCUUGCACAGAGCCUCUUACUCGAAAAGUGGAUAGGCAGCAAGCACAACUGGAUCUCCUCAUCUCUUAUAGAUUCUCGUUCUUCCAUAUAUCCCUUCAAAGCCAAGCCGCAAAGCUAUAAUUCUUUUUCCCUUUAUCCCUCUGACCAUAGCCCAUAACCAUUCCAAAAGUGAACGGUCUCCAAAUGGCUUUGAACGCAUUCAUCGUUUUCCACUGUACCGAUGUUUCCGGCUCCUCUAUUUUUAUUAGGUCCUCCCUUGUUACAGGUAAAGGUACCGUAGCAAACUCCAUGAUUGAUAGUAUCCUCUCAGUUGUCUCAUUCCUCAUAAGCGCUUCAUUUAUAUCCAACCCCAAGUUCCAAGGCUCCUGCUGCUGUGGCCACUUUUGCUCUGCUUUCUCCAUAACCUUCAAGCUUGCCAUUUGUGAAUUAACACUUUUUAUCUGAAUCUCCGUCCCCUUCUCAAAUUGUGAUCUUUUCUUCCUCUAUGUUGAAUGCCAACUUCCUCACCUCAGAGCUGAAAGACGAGUGAACAGCUACCUCCUCUAGAACAGUGGCAAGAAUAUAGUCUUUCUAUCCCAGAGCAAGAAGACUUUCUCCCUCGGCUCACUCAAACUGAACAACAGGGAUUUCUAUUAAGGAGCCUGGUGUGGGUUCUAUUCACUCUCGGAUCUAAUGAAUCCAAUUCACUCUUUUCUUUCAAUGGCAUCGCUUCUUCCUAUUCCUUCUUCACUUUUCCUUGCUUACCUGGCUACUUGAAUAGCAGAAACCUUAGCUACUUUACUCGAUUCCUACCUUGGGUCACGAGAUCAGCUCUAUUCAGCUCGGAAGUCACGGAACUCUCUUCAUUUACUCCAACAGUGAAGUCAAAGGCAACGAACAAACCUUCCUCCGUCAGUUCCUUUACUCUCUCUCUUGAGCGCUUUCUGGUGAAAUGAACCAAUUCACCAUUGAGUUCGAUUUUUUCUAGUUUCAAAGGCUAAUGCACGCUGAAUUUCAUUCCAGAAAACCUCUCCUUUCUGAAGGAAGGCAAGGUCAACGUAGCUGCAGAAGCCAGUGUUGGCUUAUGAACUCGCCACAUAUUGAACUUGUUUAUUCCACUCGUCGAUACGGCUUUCUGUUCUUCCAGCUAGUAAAUUUCUCUUUAUUAGUUCUGUUCUAUCUGCACAGCUAAAGUAGAAAAAGAUGUGGGAAAUCCAACCUGUUGAAACGAGUACUAGGAAGUAGUAGAAACCCCUAUGUGUAUAGCCUCCUGUUUUCCAUGGUCCUCAAGCCGAGCGCUCCAAUCCUUGGUCAGUUUCGAGGUUUGGCUAUUCAUCUCUUUUUCCGCCUUUUUUGUCAGCGGGAGCCAAUUGACUAUUUUCCUUUGGAUGUGGGUCCCGGCCAAGAGUUUCAGUUCUAGUUCCCAGCAAUCUCGGGCAUACUCUCUCUUCCUUGCUUUUCGACCCAGUUGCAUGCGCCCAACCAGUCCUUUUGAUGAAUCUAAGAAAAGCCAUUGAUUGGAGGUUGCCUGCCAUUCGUAAUGCUUUUCUUCUCUCUCCCCUCUCUGCGGCGGGAGUGACCUUUUCCUGUGAGUAAUCCAUUUCUAGCGAGUCUUAAAUUUCUAUAGGUGUGUCAGGAUCCCCUCCUAUAGAAAGGAAUCUAGCUGCACUCCAGUUGCUGUCAUUCCCGUCGCUUCUGCUUGAAGAAAUAGAUAAAGAGAAGGUUAUACCGAAUCCUCAAGG